GCCCAGCUUGCUGGGCGGAUUAGUGGCGAACGGGUGAGUAACACGUGAGUAACCUGCCCUUGACUUCGGGAUAACUCCGGGAAACCGGGGCUAAUACCGGAUAUGAGCCGCCUUCGCAUGGGGGUGGUUGGAAAGUUUUUCGGUCAGGGAUGGGCUCGCGGCCUAUCAGCUUGUUGGUGGGGUGAUGGCCUACCAAGGCGACGACGGGUAGCCGGCCUGAGAGGGCGACCGGCCACACUGGGACUGAGACACGGCCCAGACUCCUACGGGAGGCAGCAGUGGGGAAUAUUGCACAAUGGGCGAAAGCCUGAUGCAGCGACGCCGCGUGAGGGAUGAAGGCCUUCGGGUUGUAAACCUCUUUCAGCAGGGAAGAAGCGCAAGUGACGGUACCUGCAAAAAAAGCGCCGGCUAACUACGUGCCAGCAGCCGCGGUAAUACGUAGGGCGCAAGCGUUGUCCGGAAUUAUUGGGCGUAAAGAGCUCGUAGGCGGUUUGUCGCGUCUGGUGUGAAAACUCGAGGCUCAACCUCGAGCUUGCAUCGGGUACGGGCAGACUAGAGUGCGGUAGGGGAGACUGGAAUUCCCUGGUGUAGCGGUGGAAUGCGCAGAUAUCAGGAGGAACACCGAUGGCGAAGGCAGGUCUCUGGGCCGCAACUGACGCUGAGGAGCGAAAGCAUGGGGAGCGAACAGGAUUAGAUACCCUGGUAGUCCAUGCCGUAAACGUUGGGCACUAGGUGUGGGGCUCAUUCCACGAGUUCCGUGCCGCAGCAAACGCAUUAAGUGCCCCGCCUGGGGAGUACGGCCGCAAGGCUAAAACUCAAAGGAAUUGACGGGGGCCCGCACAAGCGGCGGAGCAUGCGGAUUAAUUCGAUGCAACGCGAAGAACCUUACCAAGGCUUGACAUGCACGAGAAGCCACCAGAGAUGGUGGUCUCUUUGGACACUCGUGCACAGGUGGUGCAUGGUUGUCGUCAGCUCGUGUCGUGAGAUGUUGGGUUAAGUCCCGCAACGAGCGCAACCCUCGUCCCAUGUUGCCAGCGGGUUAUGCCGGGGACUCAUGGGAGACUGCCGGGGUCAACUCGGAGGAAGGUGGGGAUGACGUCAAAUCAUCAUGCCCCUUAUGUCUUGGGCUUCACGCAUGCUACAAUGGCCGGUACAAAGGGCUGCGAUACCGUAAGGUGGAGCGAAUCCCAAAAAGCCGGUCUCAGUUCGGAUUGGGGUCUGCAACUCGACCCCAUGAAGUCGGAGUCGCUAGUAAUCGCAGAUCAGCAACGCUGCGGUGAAUACGUUCCCGGGCCUUGUACACACCGCCCGUCAAGUCACGAAAGUCGGUAACACCCGAAGCCCAUGGC
RNAcentral lists this ribosomal RNA (1349 nucleotides) under Cellulosimicrobium funkei. RNAcentral's name for it is "bacterial SSU rRNA". It matches the Rfam family "Bacterial small subunit ribosomal RNA", at positions 73 to 1434 of the family's 1533-position model. Lineage: Bacteria; Bacillati; Actinomycetota; Actinomycetes; Micrococcales; Promicromonosporaceae. The record is from RNAcentral.